AACUCUUUUCCUUUUGUACUAUACACCCGUAGCAUACAACUUGAGGAAUAUGCCUAUCCUAUGUAGGAUGUCAAAAAUGGAUAAAUGGCCCUGUGCGGUCUGCCGGACUAGGUUCUAUCUGCUCAAUUUAUGCAGUCCGGCGGCAGUUUGCGGAGUCCCAGGGCCCUUCAAACUCAGGUCUUGCAAUGACUGCGAUUCCGACCAACGUGCAUGAAACAGUGCACUUCACACACCAUGGCAGAAGCGCGUACAGGCAUUCAUAGAAAAAAAAAGACAGACCCUAUCCUAUCACACUGGAUGAAUUACUGGAAGGGUUAUCCUGUAUUGAGAAAGUAAACACACAAAUCAACGGAUGUCCGUUGCCUCUGUCUCGAAUUUUUCGCAUCUUGGGCGUAAGGCUGGAUGCUGCCUCCUGGAGGCUAACUAAGGCAGCCAGUCAGAUAAUGCCUAGUCGCGGGUUAAUAUCGGGUUCCAACAUCACGCCGGAUCUGAUUCUGGCCCAUGGCCUGGUGGCCAGUGCAAGCUUUUUGAGACCGGCCUGUGGGGGUGUGAAGGCUGAACUCUGAAGCUCCGCAGAGGGAGGAAGGAAAGCAAGCGCACGAGCAUCCUGUUCAGCCACAGAGCCAAAAGUUUCGGUCGAAGCCCGGUGCUAGUUAACUCGUAAGCAUGGAAAUUCAAACGUCGAUGGUGGGUGUUUGGGAGUUGCAACUGUUCCAUGGGAUCGGGAUCACUUUGAUGAAGAGGUCCUCCAUUACAAAACGACCGUGUUGAACUGGCAUCCAGAUAUUUAUAAAUCGCGAAUAUGGACUAGGGAGG
This 816-nucleotide small RNA is filed under the name Histoplasma capsulatum. RNAcentral's name for it is "hypothetical RNA". Lineage: Eukaryota; Fungi; Ascomycota; Eurotiomycetes; Onygenales; Ajellomycetaceae. RNAcentral also lists the same sequence under 1 other name. The record is from RNAcentral.